Molecule: ribosomal RNA, 253 nt
Filed under: uncultured bacterium
Lineage: Bacteria
Description: partial 16S ribosomal RNA
Rfam family: Bacterial small subunit ribosomal RNA
Source: RNAcentral
UACGUAGGGGGCAAGCGUUGUCCGGAAUCAUUGGGCGUAAAGCGCGUGUAGGCGGCUCGAUAAGUCUGCUGUGAAAGUUCAGGGCUCAACCCUGAAAUGCCGGUGGAAACUGUCGAGCUAGAGUCCGGAAGAGGUGAGUGGAAUUCCUCGUGUAGCGGUGAAAUGCGCAGAUAUCAGGAGGAACACCAAUGGCGAAGGCAGCUCACUGGGACGGUACUGACGCUGAGACGCGAAAGCGUGGGGAGCAAACAGG